UGGAUUAGUGGCGGACGGGUGAGUAACGCGUGAGUAACCUGCCUUAGAGAAGGGGAUAGCCUUUGGAAACGAAGAAUAAUACCCUAUAACACCAACACCUCGCAUGAAGAGUUGGUCAAAGAUUUAUCGCUCUAAGAUGGACUUGCGUCUGAUUAGUUAGUUGGUGAGGUAACGGCCCACCAAGACAGCGAUCAGUAGCCGGCUUGAGAGAGUGUACGGCCACAUUGGGACUGAGACACGGCCCAGACUCC
RNAcentral lists this ribosomal RNA (251 nucleotides) under uncultured Anaerococcus sp. RNAcentral's name for it is "partial 16S ribosomal RNA". It matches the Rfam family "Bacterial small subunit ribosomal RNA", at positions 88 to 339 of the family's 1533-position model. The record is from RNAcentral. Lineage: Bacteria; Bacillati; Bacillota; Tissierellia; Tissierellales; Peptoniphilaceae.